RNA transcript from Dromaius novaehollandiae (emu), 669 nucleotides. RefSeq lists it as uncharacterized. The record is from RefSeq and is a predicted model, not a curated record. The transcript has 4 exons. Lineage: Eukaryota; Metazoa; Chordata; Aves; Casuariiformes; Dromaiidae.
GGAGCGGGGCCGCGCCGGGGGCUGCUGCGGGAGCAUCUCGCCCUGUCUUCGGCAGCCUGGCGGGGCGCGCGGCGCUCGGGUGCUCCUCUAGGCAGCUCUUCAGAAUUAGCAUCGGAAUAUAUUUUUACGCUGUCUUCGUGUUUUGUCGUUUACAAAAAGAAAGGAACCUGAGGAGCGCGGCGUCCGUGGAGCAAGGCCUCGAUGCUACGGCUGCUCUCGGGGGAAGAGCUGCCCGCCCUCCCGGCCCGACCGGCCCCGGGAGCUUCGGCUUCGUGGACCGAGGCCCCCCGCCGCACCUGCCUGUGGGAUCACGCCUGAAACAUGCUGGCUGCCCUCGCCCGCCCCCCCGGCGCUGCGCCCCAGUCGUGAAGCUGUCUCUGCGCUGUCCUGGGGACAACUGGGACAAUUUGUUAUUACUGUGAUUAGAAAUGCUCCUUGCUUGGAAGGAAACACUUAGCAAGUCUGGCAAAGAGACUGCUUAGCCCUUUCAUGGAAGAUUUCUUCAGAUGCAAAGCAGCUCCAAGGGAGACGUUCUGUUCUUUCAGAAUAACUGGACCCACUGGCAGGAAGCAGCUACGCUGAGCACCAAACAAGGAAACCACUUCCCAGUUAUCAAAACAUGCUGUUGAACUAAAUUUUGCAGCUGCAUUUUUUUUAAAUGUACCAUGG